Long non-coding RNA from Cornus florida, 1519 nucleotides. RefSeq lists it as uncharacterized. The transcript has 3 exons. The record is from RefSeq and is a predicted model, not a curated record. Lineage: Eukaryota; Viridiplantae; Streptophyta; Magnoliopsida; Cornales; Cornaceae.
CUUCAAGAAUCUCUAGUACCAAAUUUUGACUAUAAACAACAAUCUUGAAAGGGUCCUGAUUCUCCAACCUCAACACUGUGCACCCCAAUAGGUUGCUAGAUCUUAUUCUCUUGCUUUGAUGGUUACCAUGAUACUAUUUUUCCAAGCUCAUUAUAUAUGUCAAUGGGGUGUUAAUACUGAAAUGUAGAAUUUAUUUCCUUUGAAGAAUAAAGAUGUUGAUCGUUAUUUUUGUUACCCCUUGGCUGUUAGAUUGUUGGGCUGCUACCCAAGGUUCUAAUAAGUCCAGAGUCGUAAUGAAUCUGAGUAAUGAAUAAGACUUAUAGGGAGGAUGAAAAGGCCAUGUGGAUAUUAAUUUUAAAGUUAUUUUAAGGAGUUAUGUUGAUCUUGAUUUGAAUUUUGAUUUUUAUCCAUUAAUUUUUGGACACUACGAAAUGACUUUUUUUUUUUCGUUUCAGGUAUUGAUAUGGGUGAUUUUAAUCACUUUGGCUUGUUCCCAUUCAAUCCCAUCAAGGAUGCUAGAUCUCUCUUUUAUACUUUGGGCGAACAGAGGAGGCUCAUAAAAUGGGGUAAGUAUAAAGAUGAUAAAAUCUAUAUCCCUCCAAGGCAAUAUAGAACGAACUACCCAGUUUUUACGACUAUUGAUGAAUACAUGGAGUGGCUAAGUACUGCCACGAGUGACAAUGAGAAGGAUCGGAUCUAUGGCUAUGUUAAAUCACAUAGAAUUUAUGUUGUUGAAAGAUCUAAACCAGAGAAACUGCUUAAGAGCCCAGUCAAGGAUUCUAGCUAGAAAGCUCCUCCAUUAGGGUGUGUUAAAAUUAAUGUUGAUGGAGCAUUCAGAAAAGUGCAAGUCCAGGGUAAAGAUGAUGAAGGAAAAGGAGCUUGGGGUGCAGUGUAUAGAGAUCAUGAGGGAAAUGUUUUAUUGGUACUUUGUGACGCAAUAGAUAAUGCAACCACGGCAUACCAAUGUGAGGUCCGAGCCUUUUUGGAAGGUCUCAAAGGUGCACAUAAAUUUGGUUACAAGUCUAUUUUUAUAGAAAGUGAUUGUCAGAAUCUCAUUGCUGUGCUGGACAAGGAAAUCGAUAAUAAAAGCGAAUUUGCAGAGAUCUACAGUGAGAUUAAAACAGAGUACGAGGGCUUCGAUUUCAAGGACAAAGGGCACAUCUUCAGGGAAGCUAACACAUUAGCCCAUCGCGUUGCUCAAGGCAGGAUUAAUGGCGUAAUACUUAAUCAGGGUGUCAUUAAGUACCUUGCAAAACAAGAUGUGUCCUUCCGUUUUGCUCCUGUUAUUGCCAAGCCCAAUUAGUGGAGAUUCCAGUUCUUCCUGUAUUUCAGUAGUGAAGUUAAUUGAUCUUAGGCACUUAUCCUUUUAUUUGAUUUCGACACUAAAGAAAGAGAUCCCUAUUGUUGCCAGUUUUACAUUAAGGGGAACAAUGUUUGGGCUUUCUUUGCUAUUUGUCAAUACUUGUUACUAUUGGGAAGUUGCAGGAUUAAUUUUUUAAAAAAUGUGUCUUUCUCUCUC